GUAGGGAUAUUUGCAUCAUGUACCAUGUGAUCACCGAGACCCCUUUGAACCUUCCUGCUUUAAUGUUUGAGGCCAUGAGGAAGAUCCUGAAUAGGUCUAAGGCUUACUUGCCUUAUGGUAUGGCACUCACCCUGGUCUUUAGGAGGUUCAGAGUCAGUUUUGAGGGGGAAGCAGUUGUCAGAUUAUCUUAUUUUGACACCAUCAACCGCCACACACUGCACC
RNAcentral lists this long non-coding RNA (222 nucleotides) under Elaeis guineensis (African oil palm). RNAcentral's name for it is "long non-coding RNA (EGUI_LNC076952)". The record is from RNAcentral. Lineage: Eukaryota; Viridiplantae; Streptophyta; Magnoliopsida; Arecales; Arecaceae.